RNA transcript from Coffea arabica (coffee), 3582 nucleotides. It is a transcript of the gene named probable inactive histone-lysine N-methyltransferase SUVR2, with no coding region annotated. The record is from RefSeq and is a predicted model, not a curated record. NCBI's taxonomy places the organism in Eukaryota, Viridiplantae, Streptophyta, Magnoliopsida, Gentianales, Rubiaceae.
UUUGGUUUUUGAAUAUUUCUUCCUUUUGGGAUUUUUAACGUGCUAUUUAUUUUGGCAAAUUCUUUGGGUCAUUUUCCUCUUCUCUUAUAAAAAAGGGUUUUUUCUUUUAGUUAACUUGUAUCCUUUUUUAAUGUUUUCUUUUCGUUUAUGCCACAAAGAAAAUGGGUCGUUUCGUUUAAGUUGAUUUCUAUCCUUAACUUUUUCCUUUUUGGGGAGUGUCUCGUUCAAUUUUGUAGAUUUGGUAAAAAUGUUUCUUCAAAAUGAGGUAGUUUUUGUUUAUUCAUUUAUUCUGUUGGUGGGUUCUAAAGGUAUGCUUCCUGUCAUGAAAUAAUACAAGGGAGAAAAAAAAAUUAGUCGAAAUUAUUUAGUUCUUGUAGUGAUUGUGGUGACGCUUGACUAGUUCGAGUUCGAGUUCGAAUAACAGAGUGUUCUUCAAAUUGAGUUACAGGACCGUUUGAGCUCCAGUUUCGAAUAUGUACUAAGCAGCAUCAAAAACGGCGGGCUGGAAACUAGAGCCUUUUCUGCAGUCAAUGUAGAAAUCCUGAAUUACAAACUUAUGGCGCCAAAUCCUAAGUUUGGAAAGGCUUACAAGGCUAUGAGAGCUCUCGGCUAUCCUCAGCAUAUUGUAAAACCUGUAUUAAAGAGUCUUUUGGACGUGUAUAACCAAAAUUGGCAGCAUAUUGAGGAUCAGAACUAUACUGUUCUGGUGGAUGCUAUUCUUGAGAGUGAGGAAUGCAAGGAAAAGGAACAGCAGAAAUUCCACUUAGUAGAUGAGCCAGAAGAGGAUGAGCCACCAUUGAAAAAGUCAAGAUUGAGAAGUCAAGCUGUUCAAGCUUUGUCUUCUCCUGGUGAUUCCAGCCCAAGUUUUAAAGGAACUAUGGAUAAGCCAGUUCAUCAUGUUGAAUAUGUAAUUCCUGAAUCUAAUGCGAAGGAAAAGAUGAUUGAGUCAGUUCAUGUUCAUCUCUUUGAUAAUGAAACAGAAGCCAAGGUCCUGUCUCGGGUGCCACAUUAUCGAGGAGAAGUGAAAACCAGUACUCCAAAUUCUUCUUCAGGACCAAAACCGAAAACGAAAAUUCAAGUGCCGGCUCAUCAUAAAACCAAUGAGUCUGAUUUGCCCUCGCCAGGAACACAACUCAAUGAGAAUUGUGAUGCUUACACCUCCUGUUCAAUCGUUCCCAGAAUGGUAAAUGAAACAGGUAAAAAAGAGCUGUUGCCUGAUGACCUAUCAGAGCUUGAGGUUCCUCUCUCUGUAGUUCUUCCUGGUGAUUCUUCUAAUGCAAAAGUACAUAUUUCAACAUCCCUUGAAGUUAUUGAUCUCGACAUGGAAGAUACAAAUAAUGUCGAAUUGUUGACUCAAGGUGAUUCUUCUAAUGCAAAAGAACAUUUUUCAACAUCACUUGAACUGAUUGAUCUUGACAUGGAAGAUCCAUCUGCAUUCUCUCUAUGUUAUGAAGAUGAAUCUUCAAGUGGAAAGGAUUCUCUUCCUCAAGGAAACCGUCUGGAAUAUCAAUGUUCAGUUGCAACAAAAGAGGAAAAUAAAUCCUCAACCUCUUCACAAAUAGACAUUGCUUCUUCUUCCAGCGGGGAGGUUAAACUUUCUAUAAUCUAUGAAUCUUCCCUUCCAUCAAAUUUUUGUAUUCCAAGUUUAGAUGCCCUCUUUAGGCGGAUGGAGGAAAAGCUUCAUAAAUCAUACAGAAUCAAUCAACCUGGUUUCUCUGUGAUGAAUCUGAUGAAAGAUAUAUGUGAGGGCUUUUUAGCAGUGGGGACCAACACCACUCUUGAUGAAGGAGUAAGUUCUGCUGAUGUACAUGCCAAUCCAGUUGCUCCUAGAAUUUUAGAUACUCAAGAUGUUUUAAAUGGGAAUGUCAGUCAUCAAGUUGGUUUUUGCGUUGCGCCGAGUAUUUCACUGGGGCCUGUAGAGUUUCAAAGCCUAAAUGAAGCCCCACCCAAGAUUCCAAAGUUUCAAAGUUUGAAUUGUUUUGACUUAAGCCGCUGCAAGAUAGAUUUAACCAUGCAGGGGUCCUACAGUGAAUGGAACAAAAACAGUCUAGCACUUGGAGACCAAAAAUCUUCAACUUCAAGCAGUAUGGUGAUUGUUCAGGCGCAACAUUUUUCUAAUGAAAUGCUCAGUUCUGCUUAUUAUAUUGAUGAUAUUACAAGAGGGGAAGAGGAUUUGGAGAUUUCAUUGAUAAAUGAAAUUAACAAUGAGCAUCAGCCUAUUUUUAAGUACAUUCCCAGAAACAUCACUUAUCAAAGUGCGUAUGUUAAAUUUCUUCUUGCUCGUAUAUCUGAUGAGAAUUGCUGUUCCAAUUGCUUUGGAGAUUGUUUAUCUUCCAAAAUCCCUUGUGCUUGUGCUGGUGAAACUGGUGGUGAGUUUGCUUACAUGCCAGGGGGUACUCUUAAAGAAAAGUUUCUUGAAGACUGUAUGUUGAUGAAUCAGAGUCCCCAGCAGAAAAAUCUUUUCUACUGUCAAGAGUGUCCACUAGAAAGGUCCAAGGAUAAAAACUUAUCUGGAAAAUGCAAGGGCCAUCUAGUCAGGAAGUUUAUAAAAGAGUGCUGGUAUAAAUGUGGUUGUAUUAAGGAUUGUGGCAAUCGUGUUGUUCAGCGAGGCAUAACACGCAAAUUGCAGGUGUUUAUGACACCCGAAGGAAAAGGAUGGGGUCUUAGAACCCUUGAGGACUUGCCUAAAGGUGCCUUUAUUUGCGAGUAUGUGGGAGAAAUAGUGACCAACAUGGAACUUUUUGACCGAAAUUCACAAAACACUGGAAAGAAGCACACAUAUCCUGUGCUACUCGAUGCAGACUGGUGUACUGAAGGAGUCCUGAAGGAUGAGGAAGCCCUUUGUUUGGACGCUACCUUUUAUGGAAAUGUUGCUAGAUUUGUCAAUCACAGAUGUGACGAUGCAAACUUGGUUGAGAUUCCAGUUGAAGUGGAGACUCCAGAUCAUCACUAUUACCAUCUUGCUUUUUUCACGACAAGGAAAGUUGAUGCUUUUGAAGAGUUGACAUGGGACUAUGGCAUUGACUUCUGUGAUCAUACUCAUCCGGUGAAGGCUUUCAAAUGUUGCUGUGGUAGUCAAUUCUGCCGAGACAAGAAAUAUUUGAAAAUAGGUUCACAUAAUAAGAGCAAGAGAUGAGUUGGUGCCAGAUUUUUUUUGCUUUGGAAGGAAAACUGAAAAGUCAUUUCAAUGUCCUUUGGGCAUCAUGAAGAUAACAUGUGUUAGAUCCCGCGGAUAAUUCUCAGAGAAUGAAGCUGGAAAAGGGUGUCCAUGCUUCGAUAUUCUGUGUUGCAAUCUUUUUUGCUUGUUUUUAAGGUGGUCUAUGCUAAUUAAGAGAUCAAUUGCAUGUAGUGUUAUGCACCAUACUUAGUCAUACUUCUGUCAAAUUCUCAACAGUGGCAAGGGAUAACGGAUGUAGUUGGCGUGCGUAGUACAGAAUUGGUUGAUUAAAAGAAUUUCCAUGUUGAGAUCUACAAUUUACAGCACUCUAUGACUCUGUACAAACACAUAUGGUUUCAGUUGCUAAAGUUUAUUGGUUUAAGGGCGCAUACAGUUAUGUACAAUACAUCUGUCCUUUUUGUCAA